RNAcentral lists this ribosomal RNA (443 nucleotides) under uncultured Sphingobacteriales bacterium. Its description in RNAcentral is "bacterial SSU rRNA". It matches the Rfam family "Bacterial small subunit ribosomal RNA", at positions 939 to 1382 of the family's 1533-position model. Lineage: Bacteria; Pseudomonadati; Bacteroidota; Sphingobacteriia; Sphingobacteriales. The record is from RNAcentral.
AUGUGGUUUAAUUCGAUGAUACGCGAGGAACCUUACCUGGGCUCGAACGUAAGAUGACUGUAGGUGAAAGCUUACAUCUCUUCGGAGCAUUUUACGAGGUGCUGCAUGGUUGUCGUCAGCUCGUGCCGUGAGGUGUCGGGUUAAGUCCCAUAACGAGCGCAACCCCUACCUUUAGUUGCCAUCAGGUUAAGCUGGGGACUCUAAAGGAACUGCCUACGCAAGUAGUGAGGAAGGCGGGGAUGACGUCAAAUCAGCACGGCCCUUACGUCCAGGGCUACACACGUGCUACAAUGGCCGAUACAGAGGGCAGCUACCUGGUGACAGGAUGCAAAUCUCCAAAGUCGGUCUCAGUUCGGAUCGGAGUCUGCAACCCGACUCCGUGAAGUUGGAUCCGCUAGUAAUCGCGCAUCAGCCAUGGCGCGGUGAAUACGUUCCCGGGCCUU